AAAGCCAGUUGAAAGUUAUGGACCAGCAGAGCUUUAACAAAUUUAUACAAGCUUUUUCUAGGGACACCGGUGCUAUGCAAUUUCUGGAAAAUUAUGAAAAAGAAGACAUAACAGUAGCAGAACUGGAAGGAAACUCAAAUUCUUUGUGGACCAUCAGCCCACCCAGUAAGCAGAAAAUGAUACACGAACUCCUGGACCCCAAUAGUAGCUUCUCUGUUGUUUUUUCAUGGAGUAUUCAGAGAAACUUAAGUCUGGGUGCAAAAUCGGAAAUAGCAACAGAUAAGCUUUCUUUUCCUCUUAAAAAUAUUACUCGAAAGAAUAUCGCUAAAAUGAUAGCAGGCAACAGCACAGAAAGUUCAAAAACACCAGUGUAAGUGUAUUUUUUCCUACUAAUAGAGCUUUGUUAGGUAUAUGCAGCUGGUACAAAAUGUCCAUCUACAGAUUCAUGUGUAUGAGGAAUGCAACUUCAUUCUUUGGUAACACAAAGUUAAUUUCUAUUUGGAGGCCCCAUUUUGCAAGAUUAAAGAAACUUAAUCUCAGCUAUGGAGUUUUCUGUCCACUGUCCCCAGGGUUAUGUCUAUGUUCCAAAUGAGGGUUUGG
RNAcentral lists this long non-coding RNA (600 nucleotides) under Homo sapiens (human). Its description in RNAcentral is "non-protein coding lnc-PPP4R1-22:1". Lineage: Eukaryota; Metazoa; Chordata; Mammalia; Primates; Hominidae. The record is from RNAcentral.